GACGAACGCUGGCGGCGUGCCUAAUACAUGCAAGUAGAACGCUGAAAGAGGAGCUUGCUCUUCUGGAUGAGUUGCGAACGGGAGAGUAACGCGUAGGUAACCUGCCUGGUAGCGGGGGAUAACUAUUGGAAACGAUAGCUAAUACCGCAUAAUAUUGACUAUUGCAUGAUAGUCAAUUGAAAGGUGCAAAUGCACCACUACCAGAUGGACCUGCGUUGUAUUAGCUAGUUGGUGGGGUAACGGCUCACCAAGGCGACGAUACAUAGCCGACCUGAGAGGGUGAUCGGCCAAACUGGGACUGAGACACGGCCCAGACUCCUACGGGAGGCAGCAGUAGGGAAUCUUCGGCAAUGGACGGAAGUCUGACCGAGCAACGCCGCGUGAGUGAAGAAGGUUUUCGGAUCGUAAAGCUCUGUUGUAAGAGAAGAACGAGUGUGAGAAG
RNAcentral lists this ribosomal RNA (442 nucleotides) under Streptococcus cristatus. RNAcentral describes it as "bacterial SSU rRNA". It matches the Rfam family "Bacterial small subunit ribosomal RNA", at positions 28 to 462 of the family's 1533-position model. The record is from RNAcentral. Lineage: Bacteria; Bacillati; Bacillota; Bacilli; Lactobacillales; Streptococcaceae.